Molecule: ribosomal RNA, 326 nt
Filed under: uncultured eukaryote
Lineage: Eukaryota
Description: partial 18S ribosomal RNA
Rfam family: Eukaryotic small subunit ribosomal RNA
Source: RNAcentral
CCCUUAGAUGUCCUGGGCCGCACGCGCGCUACACUGAACGGAUCAGCGCGUUUUCCCUUCCCGAGAGGGACGGGUAACCUGCUGAACCCCGUUCGUGGUAGGGAUCGGGGCUUGCAAUUAUUCCCCGUGAACCAGGAAUGCCCAGUAAGUGCAAGUCAUAAGCUUGCGUUGAUUACGUCCCUGCCCUUUGUACACACCGUCCGUCGCUACUACCGAUUGAACGUUUUAGUGAGGUACUCGGACUGAGCCUCAGAAGAUUCACGUCUUUUGUGCUGCUCGGGAAGAUUCCCAAACUUGAGCGUUUAGAGGAAGUAAAAGUCGUAACA